Molecule: ribosomal RNA, 775 nt
Filed under: uncultured Neocallimastigales
Lineage: Eukaryota; Fungi; Neocallimastigomycota; Neocallimastigomycetes; Neocallimastigales
Description: partial large subunit ribosomal RNA
Rfam family: Eukaryotic large subunit ribosomal RNA
Source: RNAcentral
GUAGUCUCGCACAGAUGCAUAUCAAUAAGCGGAGGAAAAGAAACUAACAAGGAUUCCCUUAGUAACGGCGAGUGAAGCGGGAAGAGCUCAAAUUUGAAAUCUUCAAGGUUUUACCUUGACGAAUUGUAGUUUAAAGAAGUGUUUUCUGUUGAAGUUUUGGUAAAAGUUCUUUGGAAUAGGACAUCAUAGAGGGUGAGAAUCCCGUAUUUGACCAUUAUUUUCAGCUGUGUGAUACACUUUCAAAGAGUCGGAUUGUUUGGGAAUGCAGUCCAAAAUGGGUGGUAAAUUUCAUCUAAAGCUAAAUAUUGGCGAGAGACCGAUAGCGAACAAGUACCGUGAGGGAAAGAUGAAAAGAACUUUGAAAAGAGAGUUAAACAGUACGUGAAAUUGUCAAAAGGGAAGCGCUUUGACACCAGUGUUGUUUUCUCGAAAAUCAAUUAAAAAGAGUUAGAUUUUGUUGUGUAUUGACCUUAACAGCUUGCAUUUCAAUUUUCUUGCUUUUUUUAAUGCACUUUUCGUUUAACAAGUCAACAUCAGUUUCUUUUGUUGUAAAAAGGUCAUUGGAAGGUGGCUUUCUUUUCGGAGAAAGUGUUUAUAGCCUUUGACUCCUGCAAUCGGAGAGACUGAGGUCUGCAGCGUAGAUCCUUCGGGGUUAGAUACAUUUGUGCUAAGUUAUAGCUUUUUAUAGACAACUUGUUGACUAUGAUUAGUCUUGUAGCUUACUCACUUAUGCUAUUUUACCUACGCUUAGGAUGUUGAAGAUGUAGCACAUCAU